Molecule: transfer RNA, 69 nt
Filed under: Pimephales notatus (bluntnose minnow)
Lineage: Eukaryota; Metazoa; Chordata; Actinopteri; Cypriniformes; Leuciscidae
Description: tRNA-Phe
Rfam family: tRNA
About the family: Transfer RNA (tRNA) molecules are approximately 80 nucleotides in length. Their secondary structure includes four short double-helical elements and three loops (D, anti-codon, and T loops).
Source: RNAcentral
GCUAGCGUAGCUUAAUAUAAAGCAUAACACUGAAAAUGUUAAGAUGGGCCCUGAGAAGCUCCGCAUGCA